Molecule: ribosomal RNA, 243 nt
Filed under: uncultured bacterium
Lineage: Bacteria
Description: partial small subunit ribosomal RNA
Rfam family: Bacterial small subunit ribosomal RNA
Source: RNAcentral
AGAAUCAACGCUGGCGGCGUGCCUAACACAUGCAAGUCGAACGAGAAAGUGGAGCAAUCCAUGAGUAAAGUGGCGACCGGGUGAGUAACACGUGGCUAACCUACCUUCGAGUGGGGGAUAACCUCGGGAAACCGAGGCUAAUACCGCAUAACAUCGCAAGAUCAAAGCAGCAAUGCGCUGGAAGAGGGGGUCGCGGCUGAUUAGCUAGUUGGCGGGUAACGCCCACCAAGGCGAAGAUCGGUA